Gymnothorax javanicus (giant moray) is the source of this 70-nucleotide non-coding RNA. The record is from the annotation of a GenBank genome assembly. Lineage: Eukaryota; Metazoa; Chordata; Actinopteri; Anguilliformes; Muraenidae.
GACUCGGUAGCGCAGUGGUCAAGGCUGACUUGAGAUCGUAAGGUCCCGAGUUCAAGCCCCGGCCACAACC